GUGGGUAUAGCGCAGUCGGUUAGCGCGCCAGAUUGUGGCUCUGGAGGCCCAGGGUUCGAAUCCCUGUAUCCACC
RNAcentral lists this transfer RNA (74 nucleotides) under Eubacterium sp. RNAcentral describes it as "tRNA-His". It matches the Rfam family "tRNA". From Rfam's summary of the family: Transfer RNA (tRNA) molecules are approximately 80 nucleotides in length. Their secondary structure includes four short double-helical elements and three loops (D, anti-codon, and T loops). The record is from RNAcentral. Lineage: Bacteria; Bacillati; Bacillota; Clostridia; Eubacteriales; Eubacteriaceae.